GUUUCUAUGGUACAAUGGACAGUACGCUGGACUCCGAAUCCAGUGGUCCGAGAUCAAACAAUUUUUUCGGGGAAACC
This is a non-coding RNA of Nephila pilipes (giant wood spider), 77 nucleotides long. The record is from the annotation of a GenBank genome assembly. Lineage: Eukaryota; Metazoa; Arthropoda; Arachnida; Araneae; Nephilidae.